UUUGGAUGCUGUGCAGAUG
This 19-nucleotide unclassified non-coding RNA is filed under the name Mus musculus (house mouse). RNAcentral's name for it is "oocyte_clustered_small_RNA8650". The record is from RNAcentral. Lineage: Eukaryota; Metazoa; Chordata; Mammalia; Rodentia; Muridae.